RNAcentral lists this ribosomal RNA (288 nucleotides) under uncultured bacterium. RNAcentral's name for it is "partial 16S ribosomal RNA". It matches the Rfam family "Bacterial small subunit ribosomal RNA", at positions 57 to 352 of the family's 1533-position model. The record is from RNAcentral.
CCCCGGGGGCCGGGACGGCGGGCCGUACGUGGCGGACGGGUGGNGGUAACGCGUGGGCAAUCUGCCCCGUACCGGGGGAUAACACCUGGAAACAGGUGCUAACACCGCAUGACAGGCGGGGGCGCAUGCCCCGGCCUUGAAAACUCCGGUGGUACGGGAUGAGCCCGCGUCCGAUUAGCCAGUUGGCGGGGUAACGGCCCACCAAAGCGACGAUCGGUAGCCGGCCUGAGAGGGUGGACGGCCACAUUGGGACUGAGACACGGCCCAAACUCCUACGGAAGGCAGCAG